UACGUAGGUGGCAAGCGUUGUCCGGAUUUACUGGGUGUAAAGGGCGUGUAGGCGGGAUGGCAGGUCAGAUGUGAAAUACUCAGGCUCAACCUGAGGGGUGCAUUUGAAACCGCUGUUCUUGAGUGUCGGAGAGGAAAGCGGAAUUCCUAGUGUAGCGGUGAAAUGCGUAGAUAUUAGGAGGAACACCAGUGGCGAAGGCGGCUUUCUGGACGAUAACUGACGCUGAGGCGCGAAAGCGUGGGGAGCAAAC
RNAcentral lists this ribosomal RNA (250 nucleotides) under uncultured Oscillospiraceae bacterium. Its description in RNAcentral is "partial 16S ribosomal RNA". It matches the Rfam family "Bacterial small subunit ribosomal RNA", at positions 524 to 773 of the family's 1533-position model. Lineage: Bacteria; Bacillati; Bacillota; Clostridia; Eubacteriales; Oscillospiraceae. The record is from RNAcentral.